Dama dama (fallow deer) is the source of this 286-nucleotide long non-coding RNA. RefSeq lists it as uncharacterized. The transcript is spliced from 4 exons. The record is from RefSeq and is a predicted model, not a curated record. NCBI's taxonomy places the organism in Eukaryota, Metazoa, Chordata, Mammalia, Artiodactyla, Cervidae.
AUUACAGGCUACCUGCUUGCUGCUGGUCUGGGAUGUGGCUGCUUAAAGAAUGAAAUCUCAUGACAUGCAGUGGUUAUACCCAGGUGCUGGUGUGAAUGGUCACUCUCCUGCCUGGCUGGAAGGUCCCUGGAGGGGGAUUUGUGGCAGCAGAAUUCUCCCAUUCUCUGGGUGCUGAGGAUACGGAUGUUACUGUAGAAGGAUGCUGUGGAUUGACAAGUCAGCCAGAGGGAUACACCAGAAACAAACUAAAGAAAAGUUACAUCUUUCUUUUGUAUUCUUACCUGAU